This is a long non-coding RNA of Ipomoea nil (Japanese morning glory), 112 nucleotides long. RefSeq lists it as uncharacterized. The transcript has 3 exons. The record is from RefSeq and is a predicted model, not a curated record. NCBI's taxonomy places the organism in Eukaryota, Viridiplantae, Streptophyta, Magnoliopsida, Solanales, Convolvulaceae.
CCUAACUCCAUUCACAUUUUUGGGGCUGCAGCAAGAUUCUUAGACAUGGCUUUCCUAGAGGCUGCCAAUGCUAUUCCACUUUAAUUUCCUAUAAAACAUUCUAUACUACUAU